CUGCGAAUGGCUCAUUAAAUCAGUUAUCGUUUAUUUGAUAGUACCUUACUACUUGGAUAACCGUGGUAAUUCUAGAGCUAAUACAUGCUAAAAACCCCGACUUCGGGAGGGGUGUAUUUAUUAGAUAAAAAACCAAUGCCCUUCGGGGCUCUUUGGUGAUUCAUGAUAACUUAACGGAUCGCAUGGCCUUGCGCCGGCGACGGUUCAUUCAAAUUUCUGCCCUAUCAACUUUCGAUGGUAAGGUAUUGGCUUACCAUGGUUUCAACGGGUAACGGGGAAUUAGGGUUCGAUUCCGGAGAGGGAGCCUGAGAAACGGCUACCACAUCCAAGGAAGGCAGCAGGCGCGCAAAUUACCCAAUCCCGACUCGGGGAGGUAGUGACAAUAAAUACUGAUACAGGGCUCUUUUGGGUCUUGUAAUCGGAAUGAGUACAAUUUAAACCCCUUAACGAGGAACAAUUGGAGGGCAAGUCUGGUGCCAGCAGCCGCGGUAAUUCCAGCUCCAAUAGCGUAUAUUAAAGUUGUUGCAGUUAAAAAGCUCGUAGUUGAACCUUGGGCCUGGCUGGCCGGUCCGCCUCACCGCGUGUACUGGUCCGGCCGGGCCUUUCCUUCUGGAGAGCCGCAUGCCCUUCACUGGGUGUGCCGGGGAACCAGGACUUUUACUUUGAAAAAAUUAGAGUGUUCAAAGCAGGCCUUUGCUCGAAUACGUUAGCAUGGAAUAAUAGAAUAGGACGUGCGGUCCUAUUUUGUUGGUUUCUAGGACCGCCGUAAUGAUUAAUAGGGAUAGUCGGGGGCAUCAGUAUUCAAUUGUCAGAGGUGAAAUUCUUGGAUUUAUUGAAGACUAACUACUGCGAAAGCAUUUGCCAAGGAUGUUUUCAUUAAUCAGUGAACGAAAGUUAGGGGAUCGAAGACGAUCAGAUACCGUCGUAGUCUUAACCGUAAACUAUGCCGACUAGGGAUCGGGCGAUGUUUCUAUCUUGACUCGCUCGGCACCUUCCGAG
Molecule: ribosomal RNA, 999 nt
Filed under: Lophiotrema nucula
Lineage: Eukaryota; Fungi; Ascomycota; Dothideomycetes; Pleosporales; Lophiotremataceae
Description: SSU rRNA
Rfam family: Eukaryotic small subunit ribosomal RNA
Source: RNAcentral